This 19-nucleotide unclassified non-coding RNA is filed under the name Dictyostelium discoideum. The record is from RNAcentral. Lineage: Eukaryota; Evosea; Eumycetozoa; Dictyosteliales; Dictyosteliaceae.
GAACUUGAUUGGAGAGCAU